This 155-nucleotide unclassified non-coding RNA is filed under the name soil metagenome. RNAcentral describes it as "partial internal transcribed spacer 1". The record is from RNAcentral.
CAAGAAGAGACCCUAACCGGUCCUCUCAACCCUGCCCAUCGUACCAUUUUUGUUGUUCCCCCUCGGCGGCGCUCGCGGGCCCGCCGGCGGGAAGACCAAACAAACCCUUUGCAAACAAGCAUAUCAAAAAUCCCUGAUACAAACAUGAAUUGUCA